This 468-nucleotide ribosomal RNA is filed under the name uncultured bacterium. Its description in RNAcentral is "partial 16S ribosomal RNA". It matches the Rfam family "Bacterial small subunit ribosomal RNA", at positions 28 to 507 of the family's 1533-position model. The record is from RNAcentral.
GACGAACGCUGGCGGCGUGCUUAACACAUGCAAGUCGAACGGAAAGGCCCUGCUUUUGUGGGGUGCUCGAGUGGCGAACGGGUGAGUAACACGUGAGUAACCUGCCCUUGACUUUGGGAUAACUUCAGGAAACUGGGGCUAAUACCGGAUAGGAGCUCCUGCUGCAUGGUGGGUGUUGGAAAGUUUCGGCGGUUGGGGAUGGACUCGCGGCUUAUCAGCUUGUUGGUGGGGUAGUGGCUUACCAAGGCUUUGACGGGUAGCCGGCCUGAGAGGGUGACCGGCCACAUUGGGACUGAGAUACGGCCCAGACUCCUACGGGAGGCAGCAGUGGGGAAUAUUGCACAAUGGGCGGAAGCCUGAUGCAGCAACGCCGCGUGCGGGAUGACGGCCUUCGGGUUGUAAACCGCUUUCGCCUGUGACGAAGCGUGAGUGACGGUAUUGGGUAAAGAAGCACCGGCUAACUACGUG